AGCAGCCGCGGUAAUUCCAGCUCCAAUAGCGUAUAUUAAAGUUGUUGCAGUUAAAAAGCUCGUAGUUGAAUUUCGGGAUCAAUAUUUCGGUCAUGCCGUUGGUAUGCACUGUUAUCAUUGAUUUCUCACCUUCUAAAGAACCGUAAUGCCAUUAAUUUGGUGUUACGGGGAAUUAGGACUGUUACCUUGAAAAAUUAGAGUGUUUAAAGCAGGCUCACGCUUGAAUACAUUAGCAUGGAAUAAUGAAAUAGGACAUCCGAUUCUAUUUUGUUGGUUUCUAGGAUCGAUGUAAUGAUUAAUAGGGAUAGUUGGGGGCAUUAGUAUUCAAUUGUCAAAGGUGAAAUUCUUGGAUUUAUUGAAGACUAACUACUGCGAAAGCAUUUGCCAAGGAUGUUUUCAUUAAUCAAGAACGAAAGUUAGGGGAUCGAAGACGAUCAGAUACCGUCGUAGUCUUAACCAUAAACUAUGCCGACUAGGGAUCGGAUGAUGUUAAUUUUUAAUGUACUCA
Molecule: ribosomal RNA, 508 nt
Filed under: uncultured Glomeraceae
Lineage: Eukaryota; Fungi; Glomeromycota; Glomeromycetes; Glomerales; Glomeraceae
Description: SSU rRNA
Rfam family: Eukaryotic small subunit ribosomal RNA
Source: RNAcentral